RNAcentral lists this long non-coding RNA (786 nucleotides) under Prunus persica (peach). Its description in RNAcentral is "long non-coding RNA (PPER_LNC000747)". The record is from RNAcentral. Lineage: Eukaryota; Viridiplantae; Streptophyta; Magnoliopsida; Rosales; Rosaceae.
AAACAAUCAACUUCCAUAAUUUUCCUAAGUAUAGAAAAAAAGAUUAAUCAUGUCAUCGUUUUGAUUAAUAGGCUAGAAAAAGACAAUGAGCAAUUUAAAAUAUAUGGGACUGGAAACUUUUUUAUGCAUAACAUAGCAUGAUUACACAUAAAACAUUGGUAGACAAUAAGAGAGGGUGAAUAAGAAUACAACUAUAUCAACCCAAGGGGACCAAGACCCAUAUAAAUCCAUGCAAGCCAAAAAAAGAAAAGAAAAAUAAGCAUGAUAAUAUGCAUUAUUCCAACAAUCUUGAUUGUUCUUGUAAAAAGGUCGCACAUGACCAAAUGAGGAUUCAUAUGAUAUGCAUUAUUCCACUAAAUUGUCAACAUAUAUACCUAUGGUAUAAAAAAGAAAAAACCACUAAAAUCAAAUAUACAACCCUAACUUUUGCCUAGUAAUCAUCUUUUAACUUCUUGUUCGAAGGUGGGAGUGAUUUUCCUGUACCGUACUGUGGCCAUUAUGAUUUACUAUUGAAAUUAGUCUUGUAUGCUAAUUAUAAAACACAGUUACAUACAAAACCUUGAGUACUUCUCAACAUAAGGGCGAACAAAGAGAUUAUAAGUAAGAAAUAAAGAAAAAGGUUCGUUCCUGUGAUAUAUUGGGGAAGAUAAUACAACAAGAAAAGGAAGGGGUGGGUUUUGUGCCACUGCUAGGUUAGGUUUAGUUAAUGCGUUUGUUCAUGUGAUAACAUCACAAUUAUUCUUAGAGAUAAGAUUUUUUUGGAAAAAAAUGAACUUAUAUUCUCAC